This 550-nucleotide long non-coding RNA is filed under the name Manacus vitellinus (golden-collared manakin). RNAcentral describes it as "lncRNA (ENSMVIG00005008804.1)". The record is from RNAcentral. Lineage: Eukaryota; Metazoa; Chordata; Aves; Passeriformes; Pipridae.
UUCCCUGAGGAUGAAGAGGAUGCCUCAACUCAACCUUCUUGCUGUGAACUGUUGUGAGCAUGGCAUUAGAGACAUCACACGAAGAAACAUAUGAGGACAGUUCCAGAGCAUGAAGGUUGUCUCAGCUGCAUCCUUGCCAACCUCCUAGUGAGUUAGGGACAUCUCCUGAGGAAAGGAAGGGUGAGGUCAUUAGGCUUUGUGCAAAAGAGCCUCUGUGUCAGGAACAUCUGAGCUGCCGAGGCACCUGGAGUGGUAUCUCUGGUUUGACAGCAUGCAGGAUUUGUGUUUUCUUCUAAGAAGAAAAUUAACUCUAUCCCAGCCAAAACCAGGACAGUAGUGUUUCAUUCCUUCCUGACCCCAAACCUGGUGGUCAUAAAGAAGACAACACUCACAAGGAACUGUGCAAGGUCUUCAACUUUCCAUUUGAAAUCUGGAAAAGAAAUUCAAGGAGUCCUCCAUCAUGAUAAAGGAAAAAUAAAACCCCAAAACUAAAACAAAAAAAAACCCACCACCACCACCAAAAAAAAAAAAAAAGAAACACAAACUUUUG